AUAGGCUUAUAAUAUUCAGACCCUGAUUGGAUUAAAGAGCUCAUCAGCUAAACGAAGUUUCCCAACGCUGGAAUUUGAGAGAUUAGGGUUUUUUCUUGCGCCGUUGAAUUGAUCCGUGAAAAUGAUUUACGACGUGAAUUCCCCACUUUUCCGUUCGUUCCUCAGCCAGAAGGGCGGCGCCUCCGACAAGAGGAAAACUGAAGAGCAGAAGCCGAAGGAACAUAGGCCAAAGGCAAAUGAGAACAAACCUGUUAUGAACGAGUAAGCGUGCAUUAUGCAAGCACUAGUUUGGAUGGAGUUUCCAAGUGUUUAGAUGUCCACUUUAUAAGUGCAACUCUCUAAACUUGAAUAUCGAGUUUGUUUCUCUAGACCAUAUGUAACAAGAUAUUGGUUUUUAUUUAGUGAAGCUUUUUUUUCCUGAUAA
Long non-coding RNA from Salvia splendens (bonfire salvia), 424 nucleotides. RefSeq lists it as uncharacterized. NCBI's taxonomy places the organism in Eukaryota, Viridiplantae, Streptophyta, Magnoliopsida, Lamiales, Lamiaceae. The transcript has 2 exons. The record is from RefSeq and is a predicted model, not a curated record.